Molecule: long non-coding RNA, 2908 nt
Filed under: Homo sapiens (human)
Lineage: Eukaryota; Metazoa; Chordata; Mammalia; Primates; Hominidae
Description: HSALNT0320363
Source: RNAcentral
CACCGCACAACCACCGCUGCCGGUAUUUGCCCCGGGCGCCUGGCAACUCUGACGCCCCGCUGCGCGGUCCAACCCCUUCUCCGACGCCUGGGGACGUGGACCUGGCCGAGGGAAGGGAGAGGGUACCGGUCCUUGGUGUAAUCACGUUUUACUCUGCUGGGAAGGCGUGUUCAUCUUCCCACCGAAACGCGCCAUAGACUGGAUCAGGCGUUUUUUGCUCAUCAUCGUUUCAAAAAACGUUUACUGAAGGAAAGAAAGGAAGAAGGCAGGAGGAGCGAUAAAGAGAUAGCAAGAGAAAGAGGAUGGAAAGUGGGGAAAAUGAAUAGAUUUCUAAAGGUUGGGAAAGCCUUUUAGCAGGGAGAUGUUUUCCUGGAGGUCUUGGAACUCUCUUGGUCUCACAGCCUCUGUAAACCGAGGGCUGCACACCUGUCUCUAGUCCCCAGCUGAUUUCCAGAGGCCCUUCCAGCUCCUGUGUUGAUUCUUCUGCCUCGACUCACUUCUAGCAGACAAGUACCAUCCAGCUGACCCUGGUAGGCACGUGGCCACAUAAUACGGAUUGCACGAGGGAAUCCAGAGGAAUUCUCACACACAAGGCAAGACGUAUGAGGAUGUUGCUGCAGCAUCGUUACUAGUGUUGGAAAUAAGAUGUUCCCCCUUUCUCCUUCUGAUAUGAGAAGAUACUUGUUAGCCCUCAAGCUGCUCAGAUGAGGGACUUUCCUGCCGAGAACCAACGUGAAGAGUGCAGCUUCUAUAAAGGAUUUCACUGGAUUUUUGUACUAAUGAACAAAUUUUAUUUGGAUGAGUAGAUAUUUAAUGUGCUGUUAUUACCACUGGAGUUAAAAGUAUAUUAUAAAUUCUUAUGUCUUUAAAACUAGAGAGAGGAUUCUGGGAAGAUGGCAGAGUAGAAAGCACCAGGAAUCCGACUUCCCACCUAAACAACUGUUCUAGCAGCAUCUGUCUGACACAACUAUUUUAAAACUUUGGGGUCUAUUGAAAGCUAGCAACUUCUAGGGGAAAAGUUGUACAGUAAGCUGCAGUUAAUUUCAGUGAAUUUCAGCACAGUAAUAGCCAAUAGUAGCCAAACCCUACUCCUCAGCCCUGUGUCAGGCAGCUGUGUAUGUGUUCCUGGACCAGUUUGCACACAACUUGCUGGAAUCAAGGUUGAAAAAAAAAAACUGUCCUCCAAAUAUUAGGGCUCUGAUUGCUGAUUGUUGCUUUACAAAGGUGCAGAAGAAGAAAUGACAGCCAUUGUUUUGUUGUUGCACCUUCCCCCCCAUUGUGGCAAACUCCACCUCCUCUGGCUGAAGCACCUUCCAGGGGAUUUAAACGAUGAGCCUUUUUCUGCCCUUCAUUUUUCUCUUUUUCUCCAUUUUUGGAAGCCAGACAUUGAAGGCUAUGACAUUCAAAACAACUGUAUAUACACUUGUUACAGAAGAUAUUAGAAAGUCACUGUGCGUGCCCAGGGACAGGCUUAGAAAAGACCCAAGAAGACUGUAAGCUUAUAUUUCAGGCUAAUCCUCAGCACAGAGACAGCCUAUAACAAUAAAAAACAAAAAGCUAGUAAACCCUGGGGAAGGAAAAUAAUCUGAUUUUCAGAAUUACCAGAUUAUUAGAUUCAAAAGUCUAGUUUUCAACAACAACAACAACAAAAACAAAAACACAAGAGAUACAAAGAAACAAGCAAAUAUGGCCCAUUCAAAGGAAAAAAUAAACCAACAGAAACUGUCCUUGAAAAGGAUCUGAUGGAGGAUCUAUUAGACAAAGACUUUAAAACAACUGUCUUAAAGUUACCCAAAGAACUAAAGGAAGAUGUGGAAAAUGUCAAGAAAAUGAUGUAUGAACAUAAUGGAAAUAUCAAUAAAGAGAGAGAAAACCUAAAAAGAAACCAAAAAGAAAUUGGUUUCCAGAAAUUUUCUGGAACUAAAAAGUACAAUAGCUGAAAGUUAAAAAAACUUGCUAGAGAGAUUCAAUGGCAGAUUUGAGCAAGCACAAGAAUCAACAAACUUGAAGAAAGGACAAGGAAAAUUAUUGAAUCUGAGGAAUAUAAAGAAAAAAAUUGAAGAAAACAGAGCCUAAAGGACCUGUAGGACAUCGUCAAACAGCCCCACACAGGCUUUAUGGGGAGUCCUUGAGGACAAGUAAGAGAAAGGGGCAAAGAGAUUAUUCAAAGAAAUUAUGACCAAAAACUUGCCAAAUUUAAUGAAAGACAUGAAUAUAAAUAUCCAAAAAGCUCAAUGAACUCCAAGUAGGAUAAAUUCAAAGACACACCAAAAGUAUUACCAUCAAACUAUUAAAAGCUGGAGACAGAAAAUUUUGAAAGCCGCAAGAGAGAAGUGAUCAUCACAUAUAAGGAAUCCUCAAUAAGAUUAUCUGCAGAUUUCUCAUCAGAAACUUCAGAGGCCAGAAAGCAGUAGGCUGAUAUAAAGUGCUAAAAGAAAGAAACUAUCAACUAAGAAUCCUAUAUCCAGCAAAUCUUCACUUCAAAAGCUGGAGGAUUCACACUUCUUUGUUUCAAAACUUACCACAAAGUUACAGCGAUCAAAACAGUGUGGUACUGGCACAAAGACAGACAUAUAGACCAAUGGAAUAGAACACAGUCCAGAAAAAAACCCUCUUAGCACAAGGGUGCUAAGAUUAUCCAAUGGGGAAAAGAUGAUCUUUUUGACAAAUGGUGCUGGGAAAAUUGCCACAUACAAAAGAAUACAGUUGGACCCUUACCUGAUACCAUUUACAUUAAAUUAAUGCAGACUAGAUCCAUAACCUAAUGUAAGAACUAAAACUAUAAAACUCAUAGGAGAAAGCAUAGGGCAAAAGUUCACAACAUUAGAAUGGGCAAUAAUUUCUUGGAUAUAACAUCACAAGUACAGGCAACAACAACAACAAAAGAACACAAAUUGGAUUGUAUUAC